Molecule: ribosomal RNA, 253 nt
Filed under: uncultured bacterium
Lineage: Bacteria
Description: partial 16S ribosomal RNA
Rfam family: Bacterial small subunit ribosomal RNA
Source: RNAcentral
UACGUAGGUGGCAAGCGUUGUCCGGAUUUACUGGGCGUAAAGAGCGCGCAGGCGGUCGGAUAAGUCGAAUGUGAAAGCCCCCGGCUCAACUGGGGAGGGUCAUUCGAUACUGUUCGACUCGAAGGCAGGAGAGGGAAGUGGAAUUCCCGGUGUAGUGGUGAAAUGCGUAGAGAUCGGGAGGAACACCAGUGGCGAAGGCGGCUCGCUGGGCCGGUCCUGACGCUGAGACGCGAAGGCGUGGGGAGCGAACGGG